This 457-nucleotide ribosomal RNA is filed under the name uncultured bacterium. RNAcentral describes it as "bacterial SSU rRNA". It matches the Rfam family "Bacterial small subunit ribosomal RNA", at positions 29 to 479 of the family's 1533-position model. The record is from RNAcentral.
AACGAACGCUGGCGGCGCGCCUAAUACAUGCAAGUCGAGCGAGAAGACGUAGCAAUACGUUUGUAAAGCGGCGAACGGGUGAGGAAUACAUGGGUAACCUACCCUCGAGUGGGGAAUAACCAGCCGAAAGGUUAGCUAAUACCGCGUACGCUCCUUGGACUUCGGUUCAGGGAGGAAAGCGAUACCGUGGGUAUCGCGCUCUUGGAUGGGCUCAUGUCCUAUCAGCUUGUUGGUGAGGUAACGGCUCACCAAGGCUUCGACGGGUAGCUGGUCUGAGAGGACGAUCAGCCACACUGGCACUGCGACACGGGCCAGACUCCUACGGGAGGCAGCAGUAAGGAAUAUUGCGCAAUGGGCGAAAGCCUGACGCAGCGACGCCGCGUGGGGGAUGAAGGUCUUCGGAUUGUAAACCCCUUUCGGGAGGGAAGAUGGAACGAGCAAUCGUUCGGACGGUACC